AAGGUAGCUCAGCUGGUUAGAGCGCUGGUCUCAUAAGCCGGAGGUCGAGGGUUCGAGUCCCUCUCUUG
Molecule: transfer RNA, 68 nt
Filed under: Sulfurospirillum arcachonense
Lineage: Bacteria; Pseudomonadati; Campylobacterota; Epsilonproteobacteria; Campylobacterales; Sulfurospirillaceae
Also listed under: 1 other name
Rfam family: tRNA
About the family: Transfer RNA (tRNA) molecules are approximately 80 nucleotides in length.
Source: RNAcentral